UACGGAGGAUGCGAGCGUUAUCCGGAUUUAUUGGGUUUAAAGGGUGCGUAGGCGGACUGUCAAGUCAGCGGUAAAAUACGGGGGCUCAACCUCCGCCCGCCGUUGAAACUGACGGUCUUGAGUGGGCGAGAAGUAUGCGGAAUGCGUGGUGUAGCGGUGAAAUGCGUAGAUAUUAGGAGGAACACCAGUGGCGAAGGCGGCUUACUGGACUGUAACUGACGUUGAGGCUCGAAAGCGUGGGGAGCAAACAGG
This 252-nucleotide ribosomal RNA is filed under the name uncultured Bacteroidales bacterium. Its description in RNAcentral is "partial 16S ribosomal RNA". It matches the Rfam family "Bacterial small subunit ribosomal RNA", at positions 524 to 776 of the family's 1533-position model. Lineage: Bacteria; Pseudomonadati; Bacteroidota; Bacteroidia; Bacteroidales. The record is from RNAcentral.